ACCUCUUUAAUUUAAAAAAAAAAUAUUAGUUUUGUAAACUAAAAUUAGCUUAAGCUAAGAGGU
RNAcentral lists this transfer RNA (63 nucleotides) under Chelopistes texanus. Its description in RNAcentral is "tRNA-Thr". Lineage: Eukaryota; Metazoa; Arthropoda; Insecta; Psocodea; Philopteridae. The record is from RNAcentral.